UCCGCUCAGCCAUCUCUCC
Molecule: transfer RNA, 19 nt
Filed under: Microbiota decussata
Lineage: Eukaryota; Viridiplantae; Streptophyta; Pinopsida; Cupressales; Cupressaceae
Also listed under: 2 other names
Description: partial transfer RNA-Ser
Source: RNAcentral